UUUCAGCAGUGAGGAAGGGUGUGAAGUUAAUAACUUCAUACUUUGACGUUAGCUGCAGAAGAAGCACCGGCUAACUCCGUGCCAGCAGCCGCGGUAAUACGGAGGGUGCGAGCGUUAAUCGGAAUUACUGGGCGUAAAGCGCAUGCAGGUGGUUUGUUAAGUCAGAUGUGAAAGCCCGGGGCUCAACCUCGGAACCGCAUUUGAAACUGGCAGGCUAGAGUACUGUAGAGGGGGGUAGAAUUUCAGGUGUAGCGGUGAAAUGCGUAGAGAUCUGAAGGAAUACCAGUGGCGAAGGCGGCCCCCUGGACAGAUACUGACACUCAGAUGCGAAAGCGUGGGGAGCAAACAGGAUUAGAUACCCUGGUAGUCCACGCCGUAAACGAUGUCUACUUGGAGGUUGUG
This 402-nucleotide ribosomal RNA is filed under the name uncultured Gammaproteobacteria bacterium. Its description in RNAcentral is "bacterial SSU rRNA". It matches the Rfam family "Bacterial small subunit ribosomal RNA", at positions 434 to 828 of the family's 1533-position model. The record is from RNAcentral. Lineage: Bacteria; Pseudomonadati; Pseudomonadota; Gammaproteobacteria.